RNAcentral lists this ribosomal RNA (479 nucleotides) under uncultured bacterium. Its description in RNAcentral is "bacterial SSU rRNA". It matches the Rfam family "Bacterial small subunit ribosomal RNA", at positions 35 to 507 of the family's 1533-position model. The record is from RNAcentral.
AACGGCUGGCGGCGUAGCUUAACACAUGCAAGUCGAACGAGAAUCUGUGGAAAAGAGGAUUCGUCCAAUUGAAGCAGAGGACAGUGGCGGACGGGUGAGUAACGCGUGAGGAACCUGCCUUUCAGAGGGGGACAACAGUUGGAAACGACUGCUAAUACCGCAUAACAUAUAGAUGUCGCAUGGCAUUUAUAUCAAAGAUUUAUCGCUGAAAGAUGGCCUCGCGUCUGAUUAGCUAGUUGGUGAGGUAACGGCCCACCAAGGCGACGAUCAGUAGCCGGACUGAGAGGUUGAACGGCCACAUUGGGACUGAGAUACGGCCCAGACUCCUACGGGAGGCAGCAGUGGGGAAUAUUGGGCAAUGGGCGCAAGCCUGACCCAGCAACGCCGCGUGAAGGAAGAAGGCUUUCGGGUUGUAAACUUCUUUUGUCAGGGAAGAGUAGAAGACGGUACCUGACGAAUAAGCCACGGCUAACUACGUG